UACGGGGGGAGCAAGCGUUGUUCGGAUUUACUGGGCGUAAAGAGCGUGUAGGCGGCCAGGUAGGUCCGCUGUGAAAACUCGAGGCUCAACCUCGAGAUGUCGGCGGAAACCAUCUGGCUAGAGUCCGGAAGAGGAGAGUGGAAUUCCUGGUGUAGCGGUGAAAUGCGCAGAUAUCAGGAGGAACACCGGUGGCGAAGGCGGAUCUCUGGGCCUGUCCUGACGCUCAGGCGCGAAAGCUAGGGGAGCAAACAGG
This 253-nucleotide ribosomal RNA is filed under the name uncultured bacterium. RNAcentral describes it as "partial 16S ribosomal RNA". It matches the Rfam family "Bacterial small subunit ribosomal RNA", at positions 524 to 776 of the family's 1533-position model. The record is from RNAcentral.